RNAcentral lists this long non-coding RNA (1566 nucleotides) under Lathyrus oleraceus (garden pea). RNAcentral's name for it is "Pisum sativum (pea) long non-coding RNA (PSAT_LNC008649)". Lineage: Eukaryota; Viridiplantae; Streptophyta; Magnoliopsida; Fabales; Fabaceae. The record is from RNAcentral.
AAAAACUUAGAGUUCUAUUUGAUCAAUACUUCAAACCUGUAUUUUUAAAAAUAAAUAAAUAAAUAUAUAUAAUAUAUAUAACAUUUAACCACUAAACUCAACCAACAAUUACAUUACUAUAAAAAAUAAAUCUAAAUAAUAGUAGAAAACAUUCUAUAAACUAAUCAAUGCUAAUAAUAUCCGUGGAUAAUAAAUUGUAAUUUUAAGAUCUCAAUGCAGCUACAAUUAUAUUAUUAUAAAAAAAACAAAUCUAAAUAAUAGUAGAACACAUACUACUACCUAAUCAAUGCUAACAAUACAAGUUGGUAAUAAAAAGUAAAUGAAUUGUAAUUUCAAUAUCUCAAUACAGUAGCAACUAUCUUACUAAAACAAAACAAAUCUCUAUAAUAGUAGAAUACAUACUACUAACUAAUUAAUCCUAACAAUAUCAGUAGAUAAUAAAAAGCAAAUGAGUUGUAAUUUCAAGAUCUCAAUAUAACAGCAAUGCACAACUUAAUAUGCACAAACGUUAUCAAAACUUAAAUGACAAAAAUGAAGCAAUACGAAAUUGAAUGCGACAAACAAACUUAGAUUCUAACAUCAACACAAACUUAGAUUCUAACAUCAACACAGAAAGCACAAUCUAGAAUGUAAAAACCGAUCAUGAUGGAUCUAAAACUCGGAAUUGAAUCACAACAUAAUCAAAAACUAAGUCAAGCUAGCAAACAAACGUAAAUCUACAAACAUAACCAAAUCUAAAUGAUACACAACUCAAACAGGACGAAAUUCAAACAGAAAAAUACCGAACACUACCUGAGUGAAACCGUCAUCGAAAGCUGCUAGUUAUUGUUGUUGUAUUGAAAUCUCCUUCAUUGUCAAGCCUGAAUCUCUUCCUGAUAAAACAUGACUGAGUUGAUUCAAAUGAUACUUGAUGCCUUUAUGUUACUAACCGUGGUAGUGAAAUCGUGUUGCUUCAACGCGUGCGGUCAUAUGAAGCAUGGUCGUUGUGUUAUGUGUGUCUAAGGUUUGUCGGACAUGGUGUUGGUUCAUGUAUGACGGAUCCAGUUGGAUUUCACUGUGUGGUUGUGUUGCGUUCAAAUUUUGUAUAUUUUUUUUUUGUGAUGAGGUUCGAAAACGAAUGUUGAGUUAGGUUACUUGAUGGUGAUGGUUUGUUUUUAUGGAGAAAAGAGUGGACCGAAGGAGUAUGUUGUAGUGCACAGCGGUGAUGAGCGGUUUGAUAAACGUUGUAGUUUAAGUCACGGUGGUUGAGAUGUGUACCGGAGAUUUUUUUGAAAUAUGGAUCAAUGGGUUCAAAUCGUGUGAAGUGGAGGUGGAGAUGUCGUGAGUUGAAGGAGGGGUUCGUUUAUGUUGAAAACGCUGGCGGGUGAGAGGGGUGAAUAUGGUAGAUGAACAAUGAGGGGUCUUUUUGUUGAAGAAGAGUAUAGUGGUCCUCUACAGAAAAUGAGAGAGGUAUCAAAAUGAUUUUUUUCUUCCAGCUUUUUUCCUUCUUUGUCCUUUCAACGUGUGAGAGGAGUAUUAUUAUGUGGUAAAUUGAGGAACCGCGUGGUUGACUAUUGGUGGAAGAGA